Molecule: ribosomal RNA, 497 nt
Filed under: uncultured bacterium
Lineage: Bacteria
Description: partial 16S ribosomal RNA
Rfam family: Bacterial small subunit ribosomal RNA
Source: RNAcentral
GAUGAACGCUGGCGGCGUGCCUAAUACAUGCAAGUCGAGCGAACAGACGAGGAGCUUGCUCCUCUGACGUUAGCGGCGGACGGGUGAGUAACACGUGGAUAACCUACCUAUAAUACUGGGAUAACUUCGGGAAACCGGAUCUAAUACCGGAGAAUAUAUUGAACCGCAUGGUUCAAUAGUGAAAGACGGUUUUGCUGUCACGUAUAGAUGGAUCCGCGCCGCAUUAGCUAGUUGGUAAGGUAACGCCUUACCAAGGCAACGAUGCGUAGCCGACCUGAGAGGGUGAUCAGCCACACUGGAACUGAGACACGGUCCAGACUCCUACGGGAGGCAGCAGUAGGGAAUCUUGCGCAAUGGGCGCAAGCCUGACGGAGCCAUGCCGCGUGAGUGAUGAAGGUCUUCGGAUCGUAAAACUCUUUUAUUAGGGAAGAACAAAUGUGUAAGUAAAUAUGCACGUCUUGACGGUACCUAAUCAGAAAGCCACGGCUAACUACGUG